Molecule: long non-coding RNA, 1043 nt
Organism: Populus trichocarpa (black cottonwood)
Lineage: Eukaryota; Viridiplantae; Streptophyta; Magnoliopsida; Malpighiales; Salicaceae
Exons: 2
Source: RefSeq, a predicted model, not a curated record
UUUAUGCCACAUGUGCCAGUAGGUGGUGGCUGGAUUUGUGGAGGUGAUUCUUGGGUUUUAGUGAGAGAAAGAAAGAGGCAAAGGUUUCGGGUUUUAGAGGGAGAAACAUGAUGCGGAGAUUGCGUUUGAGUUAGCCUACCAUCAGAACUUCUAUUGCAUGUUCUUUCGGUAAACCACAAUAAAAUACUGUGUCGUUGCUUUUUUUCUUCAACUCUCUGGUGGUGUACCAGCACAGAAAAGAGUGAGGUAAAAGGUUCCAGAAAGCAAGCAGAAGAUAAAGACAAAAAUGGAGUCCUGGAACCAUGUUGCGAUUAAUUUUAUUAGCUCUUCAAUCUAACACUUACAUUUGUCGCUCCCAGAGAUUUGAAUCGAUUAUAUAUAUAAGAAGGCAGCCCUUUAACGCAAGCGCCAUGAAGUUCACGAAUAAGCUGAGUGAUUUAAAAAAGCUGCUGAUAUUGUUUUUUUUUUAUAUCUGAAUAGGGAAAUAAUGCUGGUUUGCAUAUGUUGUGCACAGUGUUGAUUAGAAGAAGGCACAGCAUCCUACCUAACGAAUGAUGUAAUCCAAUUCAAUAAGGGAACAGUUUUCUGAUUUUUUUACUAGAAAUCCUUAAAAAAAUAUUGUCAAUUGAGGUCCCCAUUAUUAAUUUCUUUCUGCGUAAACUGUUACUUUCGAAGAAGCAAACUCUUUUGCAUGGAAUCUGUACAGCUUUACUCCUCGGAUAUCCGCUUCUCAACUGUGUUGGUGAUGGAUUCUUGGUGAUACAAGAUUGACCGGGGAGGGCAAUGAUUAUACUAUUGUAAACAGGUGAUGUGAGCUUUCAGGUCUUCUUUGCUGCCACUGCCGGCCUCGAGGCCGUGGCACCAGCUGGCAAAAGCUUGCAUGGCUAUUGGAGCUCAAGAAUCCCAGAAGAAGGGUAGGUUUUAUAUUUAUGAGUCAUGAUUGCAGCUUGGCAGAAAAUUCACAUCAGAUUUUUUCUGGUUUCAGAAUUUAUUCACUGCUUCAUUUAUAAAAAGAAAGAAAAAAGAAGGGUUGUUAAGAGGUU